GUCCCUGGUGUGAUAUCAAUUUUAAAUUCAACCUCACAAUCUGAAGGCAAUCCGGGUAGUUCAUCUGAAAAAAAAUAUCAGAAAAUUUUUUGACAAUUGGGAUAUCGUCCAACUUUAUCUUUUCCUUCUCGGCAUCUACUACAUGGGCCAAAAAUAUUUUGCAUCCUUUUCUCAAAGCUUUUUUUGCGUUCAUAAUUGAGAUAAUACUCAAAGAUUGUUUGGGUUCCGUAUUAUGAACUUCACCUUGAAAGAAGAAUUACGGUUCAUCCGAAAUUUGAAAUACCACUCUUUUUCUAAAACAAUCAAUAUGAGUAUGGAACGAAGAUAACCAGUUCAUCCC
RNAcentral lists this long non-coding RNA (340 nucleotides) under Elaeis guineensis (African oil palm). Its description in RNAcentral is "long non-coding RNA (EGUI_LNC026695)". The record is from RNAcentral. Lineage: Eukaryota; Viridiplantae; Streptophyta; Magnoliopsida; Arecales; Arecaceae.